GAGAAAAGGAGAUCUGAGGACAGGAAAGUGGAAUUGAUUUCAUGCUUAGCAAAAUGAGGGUUUCAGCAGAGGACAUUUUUGUGGCGAGGCUACAGAAUCAGAAGAAACGUUUGUCUGGGCAACUGGGAGAUUUAGUUUUUCAUGCAGCAAACCAAGACAUUGGGGUUAGCAUCAUCUCAAGUGUCAGUGUAGGACAGGAAAGGCAGGUUUAAGUUAGGGAGGGCAUCCAUCGGUGAGCUCUGACUGGAUGUGAGGACCUGUCACACUUGACGAGAGAUGAACGCUGCAGCACAUUCCUGGAUCGGAGGAUUCUAUGUUGGACACCACGACCUGGAUAAAGUCGUGGAUGGCUGCAGUGAUGACCUAGCCCAAGAUGAUCCCUUCUACGUCCGACCUUUUCCGCCUUUUUUCCACGGGAUGUCUUCAGAUGUUGGACCCUGCUACAUCACUCUGCCCAGCAGGACAUGGUCACCGAGAUUUUUUAAAUAAUUUUUUUAAAUGGACUUUAAACCCCGUCCCCCCGUCCCC
Solea solea (common sole) is the source of this 528-nucleotide long non-coding RNA. RefSeq lists it as uncharacterized. NCBI's taxonomy places the organism in Eukaryota, Metazoa, Chordata, Actinopteri, Pleuronectiformes, Soleidae. The transcript is spliced from 3 exons. The record is from RefSeq and is a predicted model, not a curated record.